RNAcentral lists this ribosomal RNA (396 nucleotides) under uncultured bacterium. RNAcentral's name for it is "bacterial SSU rRNA". It matches the Rfam family "Bacterial small subunit ribosomal RNA", at positions 32 to 416 of the family's 1533-position model. The record is from RNAcentral.
AAUCAACGCUGGCGGCGUGCCUCAGACGUGCAAGUCGAACGAUUAAAGCUCUCUUCGGAGAGUGUAUAGAGUGGCGCACGGGUGAGUAACACGUAAGUAAUCUACCUUCGAGUGGGGAAUAACAUCGGGAAACCGAUGCUAAUACCGCAUAAUGCAGCGGCAUCGCAAGAUGACAGUUGUUAAAGGAAUUUAUUUCGCUUGAAGAGGAGCUUGCGGCAGAUUAGCUAGUUGGUAAGGUAAUGGCUUACCAAGGCUACGAUCUGUAACCGGUCUAAGAGGACGGUCGGUCACACUGACACUGAAUAACGGGUCAGACUCCUACGGGAGGCAGCAGUCGGGAAUUUUGGGCAAUGGGCGAAAGCCUGACGCAGCGACGCCGCGUGAGGGAUGACGGCC